AAUCUAAACCCAUUUCAUUUUAGACCUGAAUAAAACUUUUCUUUGGGAAAGGCACAAAGUUGAUGGAAUUAUUUUUCCUGCUCAAUUAAAUUUGCAUUUGGGUUAAAUUAAUUUUGUUUCUUCUGAUUCAUUUACUAAACUGUAUUUCCACUGUGUGUAUUGUUUUGGAUUAAGAAGCUUUCUUCUCUUAGUCCAAUAGUACUUGAUAUGAAGCUUUACGCCCUUGUUACCCAUGGAUUAUUAGUUUAUGAUUUUAGAGAAUAUUGCAAAAAUCAUCCAUAAAGCAAAAAGAUGGGAUAGUAAAAAAAACCUCUAUACACCCCCUUUUCCAUUCACCAUCUUUAACCAUGUUUUGAUGCAAGGCCUCACCAACUCCUGUCACAGAAAGGACGCACAAGAGCACACCCAAGUAAUAGGGGAAAUAUAUCUAUUGAAUUUCAUCACAAAAAUACAUCAAUAACCUUAGCCUAAUAAGAGGGCUUUACUCUCCACAAUGAACUAUUGUUCAUCCACAUAAAAUACACAUAAACCUAGAUAACUAACCCUAGCACAAAACACCCAAUAUAGACUAACAUCGUUCAUCCACAUAAAACACACAUAAACCUUGAUAACUAACCCUAGCACAAAACACCCAAAUAUAUACUAACAUUUCCUAAGAACAUAGGACCACAACAACUACCCUUUUGUCGGGGUGAAAACCCCUUCCUACCCCUCCUCCUAUAUACUUGCUUAAUAGGUGGCCUUGCAAUACCCUAAUGGAGAAGAGUUACCUUAUCCUCAAGGUGAAAAUUAGGGAACUGGGCCUUAAGGACAGCGUACGAUUCCCAACUUUGGACGGGAAGGAUCAGACUCACAACAAUAAGGGCGAUAGAGUGGCCAUGGUGGAGAACAUGGUGAGGCAUUUGGCUAUCACCAAGGACACCAUAACAACUGGUCACACAUCCAUCCAUCUCCACAGCCGCAAGCCUACGCUGUUGCUGCUUCUUCAUCGUCAUCAUCAAUGGAAAACCUUCUCUGCGAGUACAUGCAAAAGAAUGAUGCCCUUUUGUAGAGUCGGGCUGCUACCAUCCGCAAUCUGAGUUACAGAUGGAGCAAAUUGCCAGUGACAUCUUCGAAAGACUAAGGGGAUCCCUCCCUAACAGUACUGAAACGCCAAACCAAGUGGGGGAUCGAAAAAGGAUCAGUGUCAAUCUGUGAUGCUAAGAAACGCAAGGAACUUAACCAUCCGCGAACUAGACCAAGAAUAAAUGACAGUACUGAAAAACAAGAAAGUUGAGACUACCAGAGAAGAUCUAAAAUGCAGGCAGACGUCUAAUUAGGCGUCAUCAUCUAAUCUGUUGCCUCUCUUUUGACCCAGCAUAGCCUUACUGCCACAUCACUUGCGUUGCACUUCAGUUUGAAAGGUUGCGACCAAUCAGGUGUGAUGAGGAUAAGCAUUGAGGUCAAUGCGUCUUUCAAAGUUUGGAACACCUAGUUGCAUUUCUCAUCAAACAUAUAGGGUUGGUUGGCGCUUAAUAGGUUGCUCAAUGGCUUAGCGAGCUGAGAGAAACCUCAAGUGAAUCUUUUGUAAAAGCCAGCAUGUCCCAAAAAGCUUCGUAAACAUUUGAUAUCAGAAGGCGUUGGAAACUUGCUCACCACAUUAAUCUUCGCAUGGUCUACUUCUAAGCCUGCUUGGAGAGCUUGUGCCCUAGCAAAAUCCCCUCGAUUAUCAUUAAAUUACACUUUUCCUUGUUGUGUAUUAAGCAUGUCUUCUUCCAUCUCUUCAAUACCUCUUCCAAGUUGUUCAGACAUUCGAUAUAUGAUUUCCAAAGAUUGAGAAGUCAUUCAUAAAAAUUUCUACUGAUCUGUUUAAAAA
Long non-coding RNA from Cucumis sativus (cucumber), 1855 nucleotides. RefSeq lists it as uncharacterized. The record is from RefSeq and is a predicted model, not a curated record. The transcript is spliced from 2 exons. Lineage: Eukaryota; Viridiplantae; Streptophyta; Magnoliopsida; Cucurbitales; Cucurbitaceae.